AUCCAGCUGAUGAAACCUAAAUAGGACGAAACUCAAGUACUGGAU
Non-coding RNA from Schistosoma haematobium, 45 nucleotides. The record is from Rfam. NCBI's taxonomy places the organism in Eukaryota, Metazoa, Platyhelminthes, Trematoda, Strigeidida, Schistosomatidae.